UUAAGCGACUAAGCGUACACGGUGGAUGCCCUGGCAGUCAGAGGCGAUGAAGGACGUGCUAAUCUGCGAUAAGCGUCGGUAAGGUGAUAUGAACCGUUAUAACCGGCGAUUUCCGAAUGGGGAAACCCAGUGUGAUUCGUCACACUAUCAUUAACUGAAUCCAUAGGUUAAUGAGGCGAACCGGGGGAACUGAAACAUCUAAGUACCCCGAGGAAAAGAAAUCAACCGAGAUUCCCCCAGUAGCGGCGAGCGAACGGGGAGGAGCCCAGAGCCUGAAUCAGUGUGUGUGUUAGUGGAAGCGUCUGGAAAGGCGCGCGAUACAGGGUGACAGCCCCGUACACAAAAAUGCACAUGCUGUGAGCUCGAUGAGUAGGGCGGGACACGUGGUAUCCUGUCUGAAUAUGGGGGGACCAUCCUCCAAGGCUAAAUACUCCUGACUGACCGAUAGUGAACCAGUACCGUGAGGGAAAGGCGAAAAGAACCCCGGCGAGGGGAGUGAAAAAGAACCUGAAACCGUGUACGUACAAGCAGUGGGAGCACGCUUAGGCGUGUGACUGCGUACCUUUUGUAUAAUGGGUCAGCGACUUAUAUUCUGUAGCAAGGUUAACCGAAUAGGGGAGCCGAAGGGAAACCGAGUCUUAACUGGGCGUUAAGUUGCAGGGUAUAGACCCGAAACCCGGUGAUCUAGCCAUGGGCAGGUUGAAGGUUGGGUAACACUAACUGGAGGACCGAACCGACUAAUGUUGAAAAAUUAGCGGAUGACUUGUGGCUGGGGGUGAAAGGCCAAUCAAACCGGGAGAUAGCUGGUUCUCCCCGAAAGCUAUUUAGGUAGCGCCUCGUGAAUUCAUCUCCGGGGGUAGAGCACUGUUUCGGCAAGGGGGUCAUCCCGACUUACCAACCCGAUGCAAACUGCGAAUACCGGAGAAUGUUAUCACGGGAGACACACGGCGGGUGCUAACGUCCGUCGUGAAGAGGGAAACAACCCAGACCGCCAGCUAAGGUCCCAAAGUCAUGGUUAAGUGGGAAACGAUGUGGGAAGGCCCAGACAGCCAGGAUGUUGGCUUAGAAGCAGCCAUCAUUUAAAGAAAGCGUAAUAGCUCACUGGUCGAGUCGGCCUGCGCGGAAGAUGUAACGGGGCUAAACCAUGCACCGAAGCUGCGGCAGCGACGCUUAUGCGUUGUUGGGUAGGGGAGCGUUCUGUAAGCCUGCGAAGGUGUGCUGUGAGGCAUGCUGGAGGUAUCAGAAGUGCGAAUGCUGACAUAAGUAACGAUAAAGCGGGUGAAAAGCCCGCUCGCCGGAAGACCAAGGGUUCCUGUCCAACGUUAAUCGGGGCAGGGUGAGUCGACCCCUAAGGCGAGGCCGAAAGGCGUAGUCGAUGGGAAACAGGUUAAUAUUCCUGUACUUGGUGUUACUGCGAAGGGGGGACGGAGAAGGCUAUGUUGGCCGGGCGACGGUUGUCCCGGUUUAAGCGUGUAGGCUGGUUUUCCAGGCAAAUCCGGAAAAUCAAGGCUGAGGCGUGAUGACGAGGCACUACGGUGCUGAAGCAACAAAUGCCCUGCUUCCAGGAAAAGCCUCUAAGCAUCAGGUAACAUCAAAUCGUACCCCAAACCGACACAGGUGGUCAGGUAGAGAAUACCAAGGCGCUUGAGAGAACUCGGGUGAAGGAACUAGGCAAAAUGGUGCCGUAACUUCGGGAGAAGGCACGCUGAUAUGUAGGUGAAGACUGCUCGUGGAGCUGAAAUCAGUCGAAGAUACCAGCUGGCUGCAACUGUUUAUUAAAAACACAGCACUGUGCAAACACGAAAGUGGACGUAUACGGUGUGACGCCUGCCCGGUGCCGGAAGGUUAAUUGAUGGGGUUAGCGCAAGCGAAGCUCUUGAUCGAAGCCCCGGUAAACGGCGGCCGUAACUAUAACGGUCCUAAGGUAGCGAAAUUCCUUGUCGGGUAAGUUCCGACCUGCACGAAUGGCGUAAUGAUGGCCAGGCUGUCUCCACCCGAGACUCAGUGAAAUUGAACUCGCUGUGAAGAUGCAGUGUACCCGCGGCAAGACGGAAAGACCCCGUGAACCUUUACUAUAGCUUGACACUGAACAUUGAGCCUUGAUGUGUAGGAUAGGUGGGAGGCUUUGAAGUGUGGACGCCAGUCUGCAUGGAGCCGACCUUGAAAUACCACCCUUUAAUGUUUGAUGUUCUAACGUUGACCCGUAAUCCGGGUUGCGGACAGUGUCUGGUGGGUAGUUUGACUGGGGCGGUCUCCUCCUAAAGAGUAACGGAGGAGCACGAAGGUUGGCUAAUCCUGGUCGGACAUCAGGAGGUUAGUGCAAUGGCAUAAGCCAGCUUGACUGCGAGCGUGACGGCGCGAGCAGGUGCGAAAGCAGGUCAUAGUGAUCCGGUGGUUCUGAAUGGAAGGGCCAUCGCUCAACGGAUAAAAGGUACUCCGGGGAUAACAGGCUGAUACCGCCCAAGAGUUCAUAUCGACGGCGGUGUUUGGCACCUCGAUGUCGGCUCAUCACAUCCUGGGGCUGAAGUAGGUCCCAAGGGUAUGGCUGUUCGCCAUUUAAAGUGGUACGCGAGCUGGGUUUAGAACGUCGUGAGACAGUUCGGUCCCUAUCUGCCGUGGGCGCUGGAGAACUGAGGGGGGCUGCUCCUAGUACGAGAGGACCGGAGUGGACGCAUCACUGGUGUUCGGGUUGUCAUGCCAAUGGCACUGCCCGGUAGCUAAAUGCGGAAGAGAUAAGUGCUGAAAGCAUCUAAGCACGAAACUUGCCCCGAGAUGAGUUCUCCCUGACUCCUUGAGAGUCCUGAAGGAACGUUGAAGACGACGACGUUGAUAGGCCGGGUGUGUAAGCGCAGCGAUGCGUUGAGCUAACCGGUACUAAUGAACCGUGAGGCUUAACCU
RNAcentral lists this ribosomal RNA (2898 nucleotides) under Escherichia coli. RNAcentral's name for it is "23S ribosomal RNA". It matches the Rfam family "Bacterial large subunit ribosomal RNA". The record is from RNAcentral. Lineage: Bacteria; Pseudomonadati; Pseudomonadota; Gammaproteobacteria; Enterobacterales; Enterobacteriaceae.